AGAAAUAAAAUGGAAAAUGGGAAAUAAAAUGUGCUAUUUAUUGCAGGUCAAGAUAGAUUGCCUUUAUAUUCUACCUAGAUAAAAGUUCUUAGUGAUUUAAUUUUCUGUUUAUUGUCAUCCAGAUGUUCAAAAUACUGACCCAGCUGGUGUGGAAGUUUCAUUUUUUCCAACUUAUGAUAAUGAAUUGAAUCAUAAAAAAAAAUCAUAAAACAUCUCCAUAUUGCAUCCAUGGAGAUUCAUUAGGACGAUUUGCACUAAAUGGAUUUUUACAUGGAAUGAAUUUCUUUUCCAAAGUUCAACGAGAGUCAAGACUACAUCCGUACACGUUUAGGAGCCAAAAAUUAUUAUGCUAUACAUGGUCAGGUGGCAUUUGUCCAGAAGCUGACACGUCCUUUCCUUGCUAAAAGCCUUGGUUUGGAAUGGAAAGGAGUCAAGUACAGGAAGGAAAUGACUAUGGAAACUGUAAGAAUUUGAGACCUGAGCUAUCUUCAGACACAACAAAACAUUUCCUCCUGUUAUCGGCAGCCAUAAAAAACACAGAGAUGCUGCAACCCAAGUACCCAAGUGAAGGCAAAGUUCCAUCUGAGAAUGCCUUGGGCUCCAGAAGGUUCAGGUUCACAGCAUGAACUUAGAGACUUGAUAUUGAGAACACACUGGCUGGCAAGUCUUUGCUAAGUGAAGAUAAAGAUCACAAGCAUUUGUUUCGAGUCAUUUUUGGAGUAGUGAUGAAUCUGUGCAAUUUUAUUUUCAUCUCAACAGGACAUUGGAAGUUGCUAAGCUGUUUAAUGUAGGUAACAUUAUACUCUAUGAUAAAAAUGAUCCAUUAGUGAGCUGAGUGACAAAAAGAGUGUGUCUAAAAAAGAUUCUUAAGGAUAGGCCAAGAUUGUUUGCAUUUAUUUUAAUGAUAUCCAAAUGGUGUUCUAACUAAAGAUGUUAAUAAUUACCAUAAGCAAUAAAACUCUAGAAAGAGUUAAAUUUACUGGCAGGCUUUAUUCUGCUUCAAUGUUCUGUUUGACAUAGUUCCAUAACCUAUUCUCUUCAAGAAAUGCCAAUUUGUUUUAUUUUUAAAAAUUUCUUCCAUGUCUUAGCUGUGAGGAGAGACAGAGCAUGGAAAUUGUCAGGGAUAUAUAACGUUUGCAUUCACAUGCUCAUGGCUUUCCUUAGGGUGACUGAAAGGUCAAAGAAGAUGCUACAGGAAACUUUCAAGCAACAAUAAAUAUGGAAGUUAUUCCAGAGGGUGGGACUGGUCCUCUGUUUAUCUGGUACUAGAGGCACUUUAGUGGGCACCUGAUUUGUAAGCAUUAUGA
Non-coding RNA from Sturnus vulgaris (Common starling), 1307 nucleotides. The record is from RefSeq and is a predicted model, not a curated record. Lineage: Eukaryota; Metazoa; Chordata; Aves; Passeriformes; Sturnidae.